UUGACCUUAAGUGAACAGGAACAGACCAUAAUUGAAAUGACAUAUUUGGCACUAACAUAAGUAGUUUCUUAGUCGUACGAACCAAACCAAAAGUGACAUAACUGUUAUCACAUCGUCUUCUAAAUAAGUACUGAACUAGAGACCACAAGUUCAUUCAUGAACUCAAUCACCAAACCAACAAGUUCAUUCAUGAACUCCAUCAGACUUUCACCUAAAGAUGCAUGUAAUGUAAACUACAAAGACAAAAAGUCAUGCAGAUCAUCAGGCCAACCUUCAUCGUAG
Molecule: long non-coding RNA, 282 nt
Filed under: Triticum aestivum (bread wheat)
Lineage: Eukaryota; Viridiplantae; Streptophyta; Magnoliopsida; Poales; Poaceae
Description: long non-coding RNA (TAES_LNC015562)
Source: RNAcentral